CUGGAGCCCAGCUCGCCCGCAAUGCUGCGCAUGUAACGCGCAGAGGAGCAGAACUGGAUCCUAACCCUGGUCCUUGAAGCCUCCGCAGGUUCGAGCAGCUCCCCGGCUUGAGCGGAGCAGCCCUGCACAGGUGGGGAAACUGAGGCACAGGGCAGUGACCAUCUGCCUCUCCUGAAGCCCUGUGGACCCUUCAUGGUGAGGAAGAGGAGGCAAUGAGGAGCUGAAUUUCUGUGAAUGCUGGGCUGCCCUCACCUCACUGAGCCGAGAGCAGACCGUGGCAGCUGCGUGACGCAGAGCUGUCCUCCUGCCCGGGGAUAAGGAAGCGCACGAAUGUGGGAAGAUGUUCAUCCCGGGUACGUGCUGCAAGCCUGAAUUUCUUCUGCUGGCUCCCUGCUGGUCUCAGUGCCACGUUGCUCUGGGGCAGGAGACCCUCAAAAGUCUCCCGAAGGCAAACACCCCAAUGGGUGUAACGACGGAUGUCUCGCUGUUCUCCCUGCUGAGCGCCUGGUGAAAUGAGGUAGAAACUGCAAAGAAAAGCAAUUGGGAGAGUGGUGGGAGUCAGACCUGCUGCUUCGUGGUGGUAAGAGUGCGCUGCCCGCAGCAAGGCUCGACGCAGAGCAUCUCCAGCUCCCGCGAGGGACAGGGCCGCCCUUUGUGGUGGGCGAGACGAGAGGCGGCCAGAAGCCUGCUGACAGCCGAAGCCGGCCCCGCACGGUGUUGAAAAGCGGAGGGAGGCCGUGCCAGCGCUGGAGAGAGCCCAGCGCAGGGGGGAGUGUGGCCGGGGCAGGUUUGCGCACAAAGGGCCGGCCUGUCUUCACACCUGCAGGGAGGCCGAGCGCUGACAGGUGAGGCGAGGGAUUAAUGCCACUGACAGAGGCGCAUCGCUGGGAGACAGCACAGCAAGGCGCUGCGGAUAGAGGCAAGCAGCACGGUGGCAGGUGACGUGCUUGGUCUCCAGCACACAGCAGGGAAGGCAGCUGGGCGGCAGCAAGAACAGGCAUGGCCUGGGCGCAGUGAGGGGGGACGAGGCCAGGGACCCCGCGGAGGAGGAUGGAGGGGAGCUCAGGCCAUCCCAGCUCAGCUGGGCUGCAGUGUGGACAGGAGCCCAAGCCAGGGCUUGAGUAAAGGCUUGGAGAAGCUCUCAGAAAAGGCUGCUCUGCUAUUUCCACCUUCACUGAAAGCACAGCAGCCCUGGCCCAUCCAUCGUGUCUUUCCCAGAAUCUGCUGAAGACCCAAAUCAGGGAUCUGAUCCUCCUUGUCAGCAUGACUGUGUUUGAACACAUCUUCACUGAGGCAAGGUCCCCUCGGCUGCCUACGUCCUGCCCCGCUUGUGUUUACACCCAGGGUUGGAGGCGAUCCCUUGGCAGGACUGGGGUCCUGCU
Long non-coding RNA from Dromaius novaehollandiae (emu), 1382 nucleotides. RefSeq lists it as uncharacterized. NCBI's taxonomy places the organism in Eukaryota, Metazoa, Chordata, Aves, Casuariiformes, Dromaiidae. The transcript has 4 exons. The record is from RefSeq and is a predicted model, not a curated record.